Callorhinchus milii (elephant shark) is the source of this 130-nucleotide long non-coding RNA. RefSeq lists it as uncharacterized. Lineage: Eukaryota; Metazoa; Chordata; Chondrichthyes; Chimaeriformes; Callorhinchidae. The record is from RefSeq and is a predicted model, not a curated record. The transcript is spliced from 4 exons.
UAACUGUGAAGAUGAAGUUCCUAAUCCUCCUCCUUCUUGUCGGGCUCCUGGCGAUGGAGUCAGCUGUUCAAGGUCAAAAUUACUACCCACCAUACCAAAACAAUUGGCCUUAUCGUCCGUGGUGGGGUGG